AACGUAGGAGACAACCGUUAUCCGGAGUUACUGGGCGUAAAGGGCGUGUAGGUGGUUUUGUAAGUCUGGCGUGAAAUUUUUCGGCUUAACCGGGAAAGGUCGUCGGAUACUGCAAGGCUAGAGGACGGUAGAGGCGUGUGGAAUUCCGGGUGUAGUGGUGAAAUGCGUAGAGAUCCGGAGGAACACCAGUGGCGAAGGCGACACGCUGGGCCGUACCUGACACUGAUGCGCGAUAGCAUGGGGAGCAAACAGG
RNAcentral lists this ribosomal RNA (253 nucleotides) under uncultured bacterium. Its description in RNAcentral is "partial 16S ribosomal RNA". It matches the Rfam family "Bacterial small subunit ribosomal RNA", at positions 524 to 776 of the family's 1533-position model. The record is from RNAcentral.